RNAcentral lists this long non-coding RNA (488 nucleotides) under Marmota monax (woodchuck). Lineage: Eukaryota; Metazoa; Chordata; Mammalia; Rodentia; Sciuridae. The record is from RNAcentral.
CUCAGCUCCUGGGGCUGCUGCUGCUCUGCCUCCCAGGUAAGGAGGGACAGCACUUAGGAUGUACUAAUCACAGUGUGGUCAGUGCUGCCUGGCUACUCAGGAAAGUCCUCUUGGAACAUCACUACUUCAAGAAUAUUUCUUUUUAUGUUUCCAAUGGCAGGUGUCCGAUGUGACAUCACGAUGACCCAGUCUUCAUCCUCCUUGUCUGUGUCUCAUGGAGACAGAGUCAAUAUCACCUGCAGGGCCAAGCAGGGCAUUAGCAAUUAUUUACACUAGUAUCAGCAGAAACAAGGCCAAGCUCCUACACUCCUCAUCAGAUAUGCAAACACUUUGGAAUCUGGGGUCCCCUCAAGGUUCAGUGGCAGUGGAUCUGGGACAGAUUUCACUCUCACUAUCAGCAGCCUAGAGCCUGAAGAUGUUGCCAAUUAUUACUGUCAACAAAGUAACAGUUACCCUCCCACAGUGACACAGGCCAUGACAAAAACCUC